UACAGAGGAUGCAAGCGUUAUCCGGAAUGAUUGGGCGUAAAGCGUCUGUAGGUGGCUUUUUAAGUCCGCCGUCAAAUCCCAGGGCUCAACUCUGGACAGGCGGUGGAAACUACCAAGCUGGAGUACGGUAGGGGCAGAGGGAAUUUCCGGUGGAGCGGUGAAAUGCGUAGAGAUGUGGAGGAAUACCGAUGGCGAAGGCAGCCCCCUGGGCCAAUACUGACGCUCAUGCACGAAAGCGUGGGGAGCAAACAGG
This 253-nucleotide ribosomal RNA is filed under the name uncultured bacterium. RNAcentral's name for it is "partial 16S ribosomal RNA". It matches the Rfam family "Bacterial small subunit ribosomal RNA", at positions 524 to 776 of the family's 1533-position model. The record is from RNAcentral.